CAAUAGCGUAUAUUAAAGUUGUUGCGGUUAAAAAGCUCGUAGUUGGAUUUCAGCCAAGGACGACCGGUCCUGCUUCGGUAGGAACCUGGUUUGGCCGAGGCAUCUCUUGGUGUACGUGCAGGUGAUUGAUUUUGCCUCACGGACUCCAGGGCUUUUACUUUGAGGAAAUUAGAGUGUUCAAAGCAGGCUAUCGCUCUGAAUACUACAGCAUGGAAUAACAUGAUAGGACUCCGAGCCUAUUCUGUUGGUCUUCGGGACCGGAGUAAUGAUUAAGAGGGACAGUUGGGGGCAUUCGUAUUCCGAUGUCAGAGGUGAAAUUCUUGGAUUAUCGGAAGACGAACAUCUGCGAAAGCAUUUGCCAAGGAUGUUUUCAUUAA
Molecule: ribosomal RNA, 377 nt
Filed under: uncultured eukaryote
Lineage: Eukaryota
Description: partial 18S ribosomal RNA
Rfam family: Eukaryotic small subunit ribosomal RNA
Source: RNAcentral